Non-coding RNA from Schistosoma mansoni, 48 nucleotides. Lineage: Eukaryota; Metazoa; Platyhelminthes; Trematoda; Strigeidida; Schistosomatidae. The record is from Rfam.
AUCCAUCUGACGAGUCCCAAAUAGGAUGAAACACUCGUCAAACUGUAU